CCGUCCGAUUUGUGAAGUUAAGCGGCCACAGGCCUCGUUAGUACGGCGAUCAGUGAUGGCGCUGGAACCCGGGGUGCCGUACCCCU
RNAcentral lists this ribosomal RNA (86 nucleotides) under Trypanosoma cruzi. The record is from RNAcentral. Lineage: Eukaryota; Euglenozoa; Kinetoplastea; Trypanosomatida; Trypanosomatidae.